This 264-nucleotide ribosomal RNA is filed under the name uncultured archaeon. Its description in RNAcentral is "partial 16S ribosomal RNA". It matches the Rfam family "Archaeal small subunit ribosomal RNA", at positions 717 to 982 of the family's 1478-position model. The record is from RNAcentral.
AGACGUCUACAUUAGAUACCCGGGUAGUCCCAGCCGUAAACUAUGCGCGUUAGGUGUAUCGGUGACCACGAGUUACCGAGGUGCCGAAGGGAAACCGUGAAACGUGCCGCCUGGGAAGUACGGCCGCAAGGCUGAAACUUAAAGGAAUUGGCGGGGAGCACCACAACAGGUGGAGCCUGCGGUUUAAUUGGACUCAACGCCGGGAAGCUCACCGGAUAGGACAGCGGAAUGAUUGCCGGGCUGAAGACUCUGCAUGACUAGCUG